CGGCAACGGGAUGAGUAAAGCGGCGAACGGGUGAGUAACGCGUGAGUAAUCUACCCUCUAGUCUGGGAUAACCUUCCGAAAGGUGGGCUAAUACCGGAUAAUGUCUUCUUGGGGCAUCCCAUGAAGAGCAAAGGGGGCGCCCGCAAGGGGCUCUCGCUGGAGGAGAAACUUGCGUCCGAUUAGCUAGUUGGUGAGGUAACGGCUCACCAAGGCGACGAUCGGUAGCCGGCCUGAGAGGGUGACCGGCCACACUGGGACUGAGAUACGGCCCAGACUCCUACGGGAGGCAGCAGUGGGGAAUCUUGCGCAAUGGGCGAAAGCCUGACGCAGCGACGCCGCGUGGGGGACGAAGGCCUUCGGGUUGUAAACCCCUGUCAGGCGGAACGAAUCCCCUGAGGACGAAUAAUCCUUGGGGUUGACGGUACCGCCAGAGGAAGCCCCGGCUAACUACGUGCCAGCAGCCGCGGUAAUACGUAGGGGGCAAGCGUUGCUCGGAUUUACUGGGCGUAAAGAGCGCGUAGGCGGCCAGGCAAGUCCGGUGUGAAAUUCCUCGGCUCAACCGAGGGCCCGCAUCGGACACUACUUGGCUUGAGUCCAGGA
RNAcentral lists this ribosomal RNA (600 nucleotides) under uncultured bacterium. Its description in RNAcentral is "bacterial SSU rRNA". It matches the Rfam family "Bacterial small subunit ribosomal RNA", at positions 77 to 653 of the family's 1533-position model. The record is from RNAcentral.